GCCCCCGUAGCUCAGGUGGAUAGAGCAACGGUUUCCUAAAUCGUGUGUCGGGUGUUCGAAUCACCCCGGGGGCACCA
RNAcentral lists this transfer RNA (77 nucleotides) under Nitrospira sp. RNAcentral's name for it is "tRNA-Arg". It matches the Rfam family "tRNA". Rfam says of the family: Transfer RNA (tRNA) molecules are approximately 80 nucleotides in length. Their secondary structure includes four short double-helical elements and three loops (D, anti-codon, and T loops). Further hydrogen bonds mediate the characteristic L-shaped molecular structure. tRNAs have two regions of fundamental functional importance: the anti-codon, which is responsible for specific mRNA codon recognition, and the 3' end, to which the tRNAs corresponding amino acid is attached (by aminoacyl-tRNA synthetases). tRNAs cope with the degeneracy of the genetic code in two manners: having more than one tRNA (with a specific anti-codon) for a particular amino acid; and 'wobble' base-pairing, i.e. permitting non-standard base-pairing at the 3rd anti-codon position. The record is from RNAcentral. Lineage: Bacteria; Pseudomonadati; Nitrospirota; Nitrospiria; Nitrospirales; Nitrospiraceae. RNAcentral also lists the same sequence under 2 other names.